This 838-nucleotide long non-coding RNA is filed under the name Sinocyclocheilus anshuiensis. Its description in RNAcentral is "lncRNA (ENSSANG00000029717.1)". The record is from RNAcentral. Lineage: Eukaryota; Metazoa; Chordata; Actinopteri; Cypriniformes; Cyprinidae.
UUGCGUUUGUAUUUCAGUGAUUACACAAUUCUUGUUUCUUCCCUGUGCAUUGUAAUUUUCUGCUAAAACGUUCAGAAUGGUAUUUAAGGUCCUCAUCAAUUAUAAUGACAGUAAGAAUAAAGAACUAGAUGUGGCGGAUUCAGAAGACAAAUUUAAGAAGACGACCAUCAGAGAACUGAAGGAGAAAUUUAGAUCUAAGGUGUCUGGAGCCCCUGACCCAGGUGACGCAAGGGCGAUUUUUGGAAAAUGGCCACUGGAAGAUGAUCUUACACUUGGCUAUUACAACAUUACACAUUUAUCUGUUCUUUUCUUUGUGCUGAAAAUGCCUGGUGGAGGUUCACUUGAUAAAGAAUUUCCCAGGUCUGAAUCUAUGGAGAGAUUACAUUUGAAAAUGUAAAUGUGUUAGACAUACUGCAUUCAGUCUAAAUAAGAGCUAAAUAUUUAACAUACUUGCUGAAGAAAUGGAGAAACAUCCUCAUAUCAUACACAGAAAAUGUAAUAAACUCAGCACAACUGAUGUUUUUUUUUUUGCUUUUUUUUAUAUCAAAACCUGCCCAAAGUUCUUUAGUGAAUAUUUACAACUACAUUUAUGCAUUUAACAGACACUUUUAUUCAAAGUGAUAUACAAGUGAGGAAUAUAACAAGUGAUUCACAUAUAUGACUGACAUUGUUGUCUGUACUGUUCGCUGCUGGUAACAUCCAAUCAAAAAUAAAUAAAUUGUAAAUAGAGUAUAAUUCAGAUAAUAUGUAGGAUAAUAUAUUUCUGUGCCUGUGUAUAUUUUUGGAUAUGAUGCAUCUUUUUUUUUUUCUUAAUUAAUAACGGACGUUUUUUGACAAC